UACGUAGGUGGCGAGCGUUGUCCGGAAUCACUGGGCGUAAAGGGCGCGUAGGCGGUUAAUUAAGUCAGGUGUGUAAACCGCAGGCUUAACCUGAGGAUUGCACCUGAUACUGGAUAACUUGAGUGCAGGAGAGGGCAGUGGAAUUCCUAGUGUAGCGGUGAAAUGCGUAGAUAUUAGGAGGAACACCAGUGGCGAAGGCGGCUGCCUGGACUGCAACUGACGCUGAGGCGCGAAAGCGUGGGGAGCAAACAGGAUUAGA
This 259-nucleotide ribosomal RNA is filed under the name uncultured prokaryote. RNAcentral's name for it is "partial 16S ribosomal RNA". It matches the Rfam family "Bacterial small subunit ribosomal RNA", at positions 524 to 782 of the family's 1533-position model. The record is from RNAcentral.